AACGAACGCUGGCGGCAGGCUUAACACAUGCCAGUCGAACGCACCUUUCGGGGUGAGUGGCAGACGGGUGAGUAACGCGUGGGAAUCUACCCUUCUCUACGGGAUAGCUCCGGGAAACUGGAAUUAAUACCGUAUACGUCCUGCGGGAGAAAGAUUUAUCGGGGAAGGAUGAGCCCGCGUUGGAUUAGCUAGUUGGUGGGGUAAAGGCCUACCAAGGCGACGAUCCAUAGCUGGUCUAAGAGGAUGAUCAGCCACAUUGGGACUGAGACACGGCCCAAACUCCUACGGGAGGCAGCAGUGGGGAAUAUUGGACAAUGGGCGCAAGCCUGAUCCAGCCAUGCCGCGUGAGUGAUGAAGGCCCUAGGGUUGUAAAGCUCUUUCAUUGGGGACGAUAAUGACGGUACCCACAGAAGAAGCCCCGGCUAACUUCGUG
Molecule: ribosomal RNA, 433 nt
Filed under: uncultured bacterium
Lineage: Bacteria
Description: partial 16S ribosomal RNA
Rfam family: Bacterial small subunit ribosomal RNA
Source: RNAcentral